CCACAACAGGUGGAGCCUGCGGUUUAAUCGGACUCAACGCCGGGAAACUCACCAGAUAAGACAGCUGAAUGAUAGUCGGGCUGAAGACUCUGCUUGACUAGCUGAGAGGAGGUGCAUGGCCGUCGUCAGUUCGUACUGUGAAGCAUCCUGUUAAGUCAGGCAACGAGCGAGACCCACGCCAACAGUUGCCAGCAUGUCCUCCGGGAUGAUGGGGACACUGUUGGGACCGCCUCUGCUAAAGAGGAGGAAGGAAUGGGCAACGGUAGGUCAGCAUGCCCCGAAUUAUCCGGGCUACACGCGGGCUACAAUGGUCAGGACAAUGGGUAUCGACACCGAGAGGUGGAGGCAAUCUCCUAAACCUGUCCUUAGUUCGGAUUGUGGGCUGCAACUCGCCCACAUGAAGCUGGAAUCCGCAGUAAUCGCGUUUCAAAAUAGCGCGGUGAAUAUGUCCCUGCUCCUU
This 460-nucleotide ribosomal RNA is filed under the name uncultured Methanolinea sp. RNAcentral describes it as "bacterial SSU rRNA". It matches the Rfam family "Archaeal small subunit ribosomal RNA", at positions 879 to 1338 of the family's 1478-position model. Lineage: Archaea; Methanobacteriati; Methanobacteriota; Methanomicrobia; Methanomicrobiales; Methanoregulaceae. The record is from RNAcentral.